AUUGAACGCUGGCGGCAUGCCUUACACAUGCAAGUCGAGCGGCAGCGCGGGGGCAACCCUGGCGGCGAGCGGCGGACGGGUGAGUAAUACAUCGGAACGUGUCCUUUCGUGGGGGAUAACCAGUCGAAAGACUGGCUAAUACCGCAUGAGAUCUCACGAUGAAAGCGGGGGACCGCAAGGCCUCGCGCGAUUGGAGCGGCCGAUGUCGGAUUAGCUAGUUGGCGGGGUAAGAGCCCACCAAGGCGACGAUCCGUAGCUGGUUUGAGAGAACGACCAGCCAAGCUGGGACUGAGACACGGCCCAGACUCCUACGGGAGGCAGCAGUGGGGAAUUUUGGACAAUGGGGGCAACCCUGAUCCAGACAUGCCGCGUGUGUGAAGAAGGCCUUCGGGUUGUAAAGCACUUUCGGCCGGAACGAAAUCGCGCGGAUUAAUAACCCGCGUGGAUGACGGUACCGGAAGAAGAAGCACCGGCUAACUACGUGCCAGCAGCCGCCGUAA
This 500-nucleotide ribosomal RNA is filed under the name uncultured bacterium. Its description in RNAcentral is "partial 16S ribosomal RNA". It matches the Rfam family "Bacterial small subunit ribosomal RNA", at positions 29 to 523 of the family's 1533-position model. The record is from RNAcentral.